GUAGAGUUGAAUCUGGCUCAGAUUGAACGCUGGCGGCAGGCCUAACACAUGCAAGUCGAGCGGUAGCACAGAGAGCUUGCUCUCGGGUGACGAGCGGCGGACGGGUGAGUAAUGUCUGGGAAACUGCCUGAUGGAGGGGGAUAACUACUGGAAACGGUAGCUAAUACCGCAUAAUGUCGCAAGACCAAAGUGGGGGACCUUCGGGCCUCAUGCCAUCAGAUGUGCCCAGAUGGGAUUAGCUAGUAGGUGGGGUAACGGCUCACCUAGGCGACGAUCCCUAGCUGGUCUGAGAGGAUGACCAGCCACACUGGAACUGAGACACGGUCCAGACUCCUACGGGAGGCAGCAGUGGGGAAUAUUGCACAAUGGGCGCAAGCCUGAUGCAGCCAUGCCGCGUGUGUGAAGAAGGCCUUCGGGUUGUAAAGCACUUUCAGCGGGGAGGAAGGCGGUAAGGUUAAUAACCUUGGCGAUUGACGUUACCCGCAGAAGAAGCACCGGCUAACUCCGUGCCAGCAGCCGCGGUAAUACGGAGGGUGCAAGCGUUAAUCGGAAUUACUGGGCGUAAAGCGCACGCAGGCGGUCUGUCAAGUCGGAUGUGAAAUCCCCGGGCUCAACCUGGGAACUGCAUUCGAAACUGGCAGGCUAGAGUCUUGUAGAGGGGGGUAGAAUUCCAGGUGUAGCGGUGAAAUGCGUAGAGAUCUGGAGGAAUACCGGUGGCGAAGGCGGCCCCCUGGACAAAGACUGACGCUCAGGUGCGAAAGCGUGGGGAGCAAACAGGAUUAGAUACCCUGGUAGUCCACGCCGUAAACGAUGUCGAUUUGGAGGUUGUGCCCUUGAGGCGUGGCUUCCGGAGCUAACGC
Molecule: ribosomal RNA, 860 nt
Filed under: Klebsiella granulomatis
Lineage: Bacteria; Pseudomonadati; Pseudomonadota; Gammaproteobacteria; Enterobacterales; Enterobacteriaceae
Description: bacterial SSU rRNA
Rfam family: Bacterial small subunit ribosomal RNA
Source: RNAcentral